GGUUCCACAGGCGAUGGGGUUCGCCUGAACUACCGCGCGAGCGGUUGAUAACCCCUACCUGAAC
This 64-nucleotide non-coding RNA is filed under the name Clostridia bacterium. Its description in RNAcentral is "Fluoride sequence". It matches the Rfam family "Fluoride riboswitch aptamer (crcB RNA motif)". The record is from RNAcentral. Lineage: Bacteria; Bacillati; Bacillota; Clostridia.